UGGGGAAUAUUGCGCAAUGGGCGAAAGCCUGACGCAGCGACGCCGCGUGGAGGAUGAAGGUCUUAGGAUCGUAAACUUCUGUUAAGUGGGAAAAAAGACUCAUUCCUAAUACGAAUGAGGGAUGAUGGUACCACUAGAGAAAGCACCGGCUAAUCUCGUGCCAGCAGCCGCGGUAAUACGAGAGGUGCGAGCGUUAUUCGGAUUUAUUGGGUGUAAAGGGUGCGUAGACGGCGCGUUAAGUUUGUUGUUAAAUCCUCCGGCUCAACCGGAGAUGUGCGGCAAAUACUGGCGUGCUAGAGGAUGGAAGAGAGAAGUGGAAUUCUUGGAGUAGCGGUAAAAUGCGUAGAUCUCAAGAGGAACACCGAUGGCGAAGGCAGCUUCUUGGUCCAUUCCUGACGUUGAGGCACGAAAGCGUGGGGAGCAAACAGG
RNAcentral lists this ribosomal RNA (429 nucleotides) under uncultured bacterium. RNAcentral describes it as "bacterial SSU rRNA". It matches the Rfam family "Bacterial small subunit ribosomal RNA", at positions 355 to 776 of the family's 1533-position model. The record is from RNAcentral.